AUCAAUAAGUUGUAUUUUUAAGAUAAAAUUCUCAAAAAUUCUAUUUUAGGAAAGUUUUAUUUUUAUUGAGAAAUAUUGUAGAUUUGGGGUUCUGAUUUAGAAAUUAGAACAACGAGAAUUUUUGUUGAUAAAUGAGCAUUCUUUUAAAAGUUUUGAUCAAUAGGUUGUAUGUUUUAGAUAAAAUUCUCAAAAAUUCUAUUUUUAGAAAGUUUUCAUUUUUAUAGAGAAAUAUUGUAGAUUUGGGGUUGUGAUUUAGAAUUUUGGAUAACAAGAAUUUUUGUUGAUAGAUGAGUAUUCUUUGAGGAUUUUUGAUCAAUAAGUUGUAUUUUUAAGAUAAAAUUCUCAAAAAUUCUAUUUUAGGAAAGUUUUUAUUUUUAUUGAGAAAUAUUGUAGAUUUGGGGUUCUGAUUUAGAAAUUAGGAUAACAUGAAUUUUUGUUGAUAGAUGAGUAUUCUUUUAGAUUUUUUGAUCAAUGAAUUUUUGUUGAUAGAUGAGUAGGAAAGUUUUAUUUUUAUUGAGAAAUAUUGUAGAUUUGGGGUUCUGAUUUAGAAAUUAGGACAACAAGAAUUUUUGUUGAUAGAUGAGUAUUCUUUUAAAAGUUUUGAUCAAUAGGUUGUAUAUUUUAGAUAAAAUUCUCAAAAAUUCUAUUUUUGGAAAGUAUUCAUUUUUGUGAAUAAUAGUGUGGAUUUGGGGUUUUGAUUUAGAAAUUAGGAUAACAAGAAUUGUUUGUUGAUAGAUGAGUAUUCAUUUAGAUUUUUUUGAUCAAUAGUUGUAUUUUUUAAAUAUAAUUCUCAAAAGUUCUAUUUUAUGAAAGUUUUCAUUUUCUAUAGAAAUAUUGUAGAUUUAGGGUUCUGAUUUAGAAAUGAGGAUAACAAUAUUUUUUGUUGAUACAUCAGUAUUUUUUAGAUUUUUUUUAUCAAUAGGUUGUAUAUUUUAGAAACAAUUUCAAAAAUUCUAUUUUUAGAAAGUUUUCAUUUUUAUAGAAAAAUAUUGUUGAUUUGGGGUUGUGAUUUAGAAUUUUGGAUAACAAGAAUUUUUUUUGAUUGAUGAGUAUUCUAUAAGGAUUUUUGAUCAAUAGGUUGUAUUUUUUAGAUAAAAUUCUCAAAAAUUCUAUUUUAAGAAAGUUUUUAUUUUUAUUUAGAAAUAUUGUAGAUUUGGGGUUCUGAUUUAUAAAUUAAGAUAACAAGAAUUUUUGUUGAUAGAUAAGUAUUCUUUUAGGAUUUUUGAUCAAUAAGUUGUAUUUUUUAGAUAAAAUUCUCAAAAAUUCUAUUUUAGGAAAGUUUUUUUAUUUUUAUUGAGAAAUAUUGUAGAUUUGGGGUUCUGGUUUAGAAAUUAGUACAACAAGAAUUUUUGUUGAUAGAUGAUCAUUCUUUUAAAAGUUUUGAUCAAUAGGUUGAAUAUUUUAGAUAAAAUUCUCAAAAAUUCUAUUUUUGGAAAGUUUUCAUUUUUAUAGCGAAAUAUUGUAGAUUUGGGGUUGUGAUUUAGAAUUUUGGAUAACAAAAUUUUUUGUUGAUAGAUGAGUAUUCUUUGAGGAUUUUUGAUCAAUAAGUUGUAUUUUUAAGGUAAAAUUCUCAAAAAUUCUAUUUUAGGAAAGUUUUUAUUUUUAUUGAGAAAUAUUGUAGAUUUGGGGCUCUGAUUUAGAAAUUAGGACAACAAGAAUUUUUGUUGAUAAAUGAGCAUUCUUUUAAAAGUUUUGAUCAAUAGGUUGUAUAUUUUAGAUAAAAUUCUCAAAAAUUCUAUUUUUGGAAAGUUUUCAUUUUUGUGAAUAAUAGUGUGGAUUUGAG
This 1783-nucleotide long non-coding RNA is filed under the name Brassica napus (rape). RNAcentral describes it as "long non-coding RNA (BNAP_LNC018688)". Lineage: Eukaryota; Viridiplantae; Streptophyta; Magnoliopsida; Brassicales; Brassicaceae. The record is from RNAcentral.